RNAcentral lists this transfer RNA (74 nucleotides) under Ipomoea nil (Japanese morning glory). It matches the Rfam family "tRNA". Rfam says of the family: Transfer RNA (tRNA) molecules are approximately 80 nucleotides in length. Their secondary structure includes four short double-helical elements and three loops (D, anti-codon, and T loops). The record is from Rfam by way of RNAcentral. Lineage: Eukaryota; Viridiplantae; Streptophyta; Magnoliopsida; Solanales; Convolvulaceae.
GGCCUAUUAGCCCAGUUGGAUAGAGCGUCGUGUUAAUAACGCGAAGGUUACAAGAUUGAGACUUGUAUGGGCCA